CAUGACACUAAUUGGCCCCCCAGGGCCUCGUGGAAUGGCAGGACCACCAGGGAAAAAGGGAAAAACAGGUCUUGAUGGAUUUAAAGGUGAGCCUGGUCCAAGAGGACCUAUUGGAUUUCCUGGAGCCAAAGGAUCAGCUGGGGAACCAGGAGACAGAGGCCAGAAAGGUGAGAGAGGAGAUUCGGGCAUGGGACUCCCUGGCCCAGAUGGACCUCAAGGCUUUAGA
Molecule: long non-coding RNA, 226 nt
Organism: Terrapene triunguis (Three-toed box turtle)
Lineage: Eukaryota; Metazoa; Chordata; Testudines; Emydidae
Exons: 3
Source: RefSeq, a predicted model, not a curated record